This 248-nucleotide ribosomal RNA is filed under the name uncultured bacterium. RNAcentral's name for it is "partial 16S ribosomal RNA". It matches the Rfam family "Bacterial small subunit ribosomal RNA", at positions 109 to 353 of the family's 1533-position model. The record is from RNAcentral.
AGUAACACGUGGGUAACCUGCCUUAUAGUGGGGGAUAGCCUUUCGAAAGGAAGAUUAAUACCGCAUAAGAUUGUAGUAUCGCAUGAUAUAGCAAUUAAAGGAGCAAUCCGCUAUAAGAUGGACCCGCGUCGCAUUAGCUAGUUGGUGAGGUAAUGGCUCACCAAGGCGACGAUGCGUAGCCGACCUGAGAGGGUGAACGGCCACAUUGGGACUGAGACACGGUCCAGACUCCUACGGGAGGCAGCAUG